This 292-nucleotide ribosomal RNA is filed under the name uncultured bacterium. RNAcentral describes it as "partial 16S ribosomal RNA". It matches the Rfam family "Bacterial small subunit ribosomal RNA", at positions 505 to 796 of the family's 1533-position model. The record is from RNAcentral.
GUGUCAGCAGCCGCGGUAAUACAGGGGGUGCAAACGUUGCUCGGAAUUAUUGGGCGUAAAGCGCGCGUAGGCGGCCGCUUAAGUCGGAUGUGAAAGCCCCUGGCUCAACUGGGGAAGUGCACCCGAAACUGAGUGGCUUGAGUACUAAAGAGGGUCGCGGAAUUCCCGGUGUAGAGGUGAAAUUCGUAGAUAUCGGGAGGAACACCGGUGGCGAAGGCGGCGACCUGGGUAGAUACUGACGCUGAGGCGCGAAAGCGUGGGGAGCAAACAGGAUUAGAUACCCUGGUAGUCC